CAGUCGCCGCGGGAAUACGAAGGGGGCUAGCGUUGUUCGGAAUUACUGGGCGUAAAGCGCACGUAGGCGGAUACUUAAGUCAGGGGUGAAAUCCCAGAGCUCAACUCUGGAACUGCCUUUGAUACUGGGUAUCUUGAGUAUGGAAGAGGUUAGUGGAAUUGCGAGUGUAGAGGUGAAAUUCGUAGAUAUUCGCAGGAACACCAGUGGCAAAGGCGGCUAACUGGUCCAUAACUGACGCUGAGGUGCGAAAGCGUGGGGAGCAAACAGGAUUAGAUACCCCCGUAGUCCCUGUCUCUUAUAC
This 301-nucleotide ribosomal RNA is filed under the name uncultured bacterium. RNAcentral describes it as "partial 16S ribosomal RNA". It matches the Rfam family "Bacterial small subunit ribosomal RNA", at positions 509 to 807 of the family's 1533-position model. The record is from RNAcentral.